UUCCUUAUAGUUUAAUAAUAAAAAAUGUAGAAUUGCAAAUUCUAAGAUAAGAAAUCUUUAAGGGGU
This 66-nucleotide transfer RNA is filed under the name Pomacea maculata. Its description in RNAcentral is "tRNA-Cys". Lineage: Eukaryota; Metazoa; Mollusca; Gastropoda; Architaenioglossa; Ampullariidae. The record is from RNAcentral.